This 489-nucleotide ribosomal RNA is filed under the name uncultured bacterium. RNAcentral's name for it is "partial 16S ribosomal RNA". It matches the Rfam family "Bacterial small subunit ribosomal RNA", at positions 28 to 507 of the family's 1533-position model. The record is from RNAcentral.
GAUGAACGCUAGCGGCAGGCUUAAUACAUGCAAGUCGAGGGGCAGCAGGACUGUAGCAAUACAGUUGCUGGCGACCGGCAAACGGGUGCGGAACACGUACGCAACCUACCCAAAACUGGGGGAUAGCCCGGGGAAACCCGGAUUAAUACCUCGUAACCUUUUUAAGUGGCAUCACUUGAUAAGUAUAGCUCCGGCGGUUUUGGAUGGGCGUGCGCCUGAUUAGGUAGUUGGUGCGGGUAACGGCCCACCAAGCCUGCGAUCAGUAACUGGUGUGAGAGCACGACCAGUCACACGGGAACUGAGACACGGGCCCGACUCCUACGGGAGGCAGCAGUAAGGAAUAUUGGUCAAUGGACGCAAGUCUGAACCAGCCAUGCCGCGUGAAGGAUGAAGGUCCUCUGGAUUGUAAACUUCUGUUAUGGGGGACGAAACCCGGAUAUUCUUAUCCGAUUGACGGUACCUCAGGAAUAAGCACCGGCUAACUCCGUG